AAUCAACGCUGGCGGCGUGCCUCAGACAUGCAAGUCGAACGAGAAAGUCCCCUUCGGGGGAUAAGUAAAGUGGCGCACGGGUGAGUAACACGUAGGUAAUCUACCUUCGGGUGGGGAAUAACCCAGGGAAACUUGGGCUAACACCGCAUAAUGCAGCGGCACCACAUGGUGACAGUUGUUAAAGCGGGGGGAUUUUCGGACCUCGCGCCUGAAGAGGAGCCUGCGGCGGAUUAGCUAGUUGGUAAGGACGGCUUACCAAGGCAACGAUCCGUAGCCGGCCUGAGAGGGCGGUCGGCCACACUGACACUGACAUACGGGUCAGACUCCUACGGGAGGCAGCAGUCGGGAAUUUUGGGCAAUGGGCGAAAGCCUGACCCAGCAACGCCGCGUGAAGGAUGAAAUCCCUCGGGAUGUAAACUUCGCAAGAAUGGGAAGAAUUAGCGAGCGCUAAUACCGCUCGUGAUGACGGUACCAUUUGUAAGCUCCGGCUAACUCCGUGCCAGCAGCCGCAGU
This 513-nucleotide ribosomal RNA is filed under the name uncultured bacterium. Its description in RNAcentral is "bacterial SSU rRNA". It matches the Rfam family "Bacterial small subunit ribosomal RNA", at positions 32 to 521 of the family's 1533-position model. The record is from RNAcentral.